GGGGGCUUGGUUCAGUGGUAGAACGGCGGUCUCCAAAACCGCAAACGGGGGUCCGAUUCCUCCAGCCCCUG
This 71-nucleotide transfer RNA is filed under the name bacterium. Its description in RNAcentral is "tRNA-Trp". It matches the Rfam family "tRNA". From Rfam's summary of the family: Transfer RNA (tRNA) molecules are approximately 80 nucleotides in length. Their secondary structure includes four short double-helical elements and three loops (D, anti-codon, and T loops). The record is from RNAcentral.